RNAcentral lists this ribosomal RNA (229 nucleotides) under uncultured bacterium. RNAcentral describes it as "partial 16S ribosomal RNA". It matches the Rfam family "Bacterial small subunit ribosomal RNA", at positions 568 to 796 of the family's 1533-position model. The record is from RNAcentral.
UGCGUAGGCGGGGCAAUUAGUCAGUGGUGAAAUCCUGCGGCUUAACCGUAGAACUGCCAUUGAUACUGUUGCCCUUGAGUAUAGUUGAGGUGGGCGGAAUGUGUAAUGUAGCGGUGAAAUGCAUAGAGAUUACACAGAACACCAAUUGCGAAGGCAGCUCACUAAACUAUAACUGACGCUGAGGCACGAAAGCGUGGGGAGCGAACAGGAUUAGAUACCCUGGUAGUCC